AUGGCGAACAUUCCAAAAACCCGCCAGACUUUCUGUACGAAGUGUGCAAGCACCAACCCCAGAAAAUGACACGGUACAAGAAGAGCAAGGAUUUUCUGUAUGCCCAGGGAAAGCAGCGUUAUGACAGGAAGCAGAGUGGCUAUGGUGGGCAGACUAAGCCAAUUUUCCAGAAAAAGACUAAAACUACAAAGAAGAUUGGGCCAAGGCUUGAGUGCAUAGAGCCCAACUGCCGAUCUAAGAGAAUGCUGGCUAUUAAAUGAUGCAAGUAUUUUGAACUGGGAGGAGAUAAGGAGAGAAAGGGCCAAGUAAUCCAGUUCUGC
RNAcentral lists this long non-coding RNA (320 nucleotides) under Homo sapiens (human). RNAcentral describes it as "non-protein coding lnc-FAM241A-5:1". Lineage: Eukaryota; Metazoa; Chordata; Mammalia; Primates; Hominidae. The record is from RNAcentral.